RNAcentral lists this ribosomal RNA (320 nucleotides) under uncultured eukaryote. RNAcentral's name for it is "partial 18S ribosomal RNA". It matches the Rfam family "Eukaryotic small subunit ribosomal RNA", at positions 1470 to 1796 of the family's 1831-position model. The record is from RNAcentral.
CCCUUAGAUGUUCUGGGCUGCACGCGUGUUACAAUCGGGAGUACAACAAGAUUGCAAAUCCUAGUGGAUGAGUGGUUCUUCGAAAUUUUCUGAAGACUGGGAUAGUUGAUUGAAAUUAUUCAACUCGAACGAGGAAUUCCUUGUAAUUGUAAUUCAUUAUAUUGUAAUGAAUACGUCCCUGCCCGUUGUACACGCCGCCCGUCGCUCCUACCGAUUGAACGAUCCGGUGAAUUAUUUGGAGUAGCUCUGGAAGUUGCAGAACUUCCUAUGUCACGAAAUUUUGUAAACCUUAUCGUUUAGAGGAAGGAAAAGUCGUAACA